This 495-nucleotide ribosomal RNA is filed under the name uncultured bacterium. RNAcentral's name for it is "bacterial SSU rRNA". It matches the Rfam family "Bacterial small subunit ribosomal RNA", at positions 903 to 1397 of the family's 1533-position model. The record is from RNAcentral.
AAAUGAAUAGACGGGGGCCCGCACAAGCGGUGGAGCAUGUGGUUUAAUUCGAUGCAACGCGAAGAACCUUACCAGGUCUUGACAUCCAAAGAACCCGGUGGAAACACUGGGGUGCCUUCGGGAGCUUUGAGACAGGUGGUGCAUGGUUGUCGUCAGCUCGUGUCGUGAGAUGUUGGGUUAAGUCCCGCAACGAGCGCAACCCUUGCUAUUAGUUGCUAACAGGUAGAGCUGAGCACUCUAAUGGGACUGCCCGUGACAAGCGGGAGGAAGGUGGGGAUGACGUCAAAUCAUCAUGCCCUUUAUGAUCUGGGCUACACACGUGCUACAAUGGAUGGUACAGAGAGCAGCGAGACUGUGAAGUGGAGCGAAUCUCAAAAAGCCAUUCUCAGUUCGGAUUGUAGUCUGCAACUCGACUACAUGAAGUCGGAAUCGCUAGUAAUCGCGAAUCAGCAUGUCGCGGUGAAUGCGUUCCCGGGCCUUGUACACACCGCCCGU